CUGCAGCCCGAGUGGUGAUCGAUUUUAUUGAGCCUAAAGCGUCCGUAGCCGGACUAGUAAACCCUUGGGUAAAUUGGGCAGCUUAACUGUCCGAAUUCCGAGGGGACUGCUAGUCUUGGGACCGGGAGAGGUCAGAGGUACUCAAGAGGUAGGGGCUAAAUCCUGUAAUCCUUUGGGGACCACCAGUGGCGAAGGCGUCUGACUAGAACGGAUCCGACGGUAAGGGACGAAACCCUGGGGCGCGAACCGGAUUAGAUACCCGAGUAGUCC
This 270-nucleotide ribosomal RNA is filed under the name uncultured archaeon. RNAcentral's name for it is "partial 16S ribosomal RNA". It matches the Rfam family "Archaeal small subunit ribosomal RNA", at positions 477 to 747 of the family's 1478-position model. The record is from RNAcentral.